UACGUAGGUGGCAGAGCGUUGUCCGGAUUUAUUGGGCGUAAAGCGAGCGCAGGCGGUUGAUUAAGUCUGAUGUGAAAGCCCCCGGCUCAACCGGGGAGGGUCAUUGGAAACUGGUCAACUUGAGUGCAGCAGAGGGGGGUGGAAUUCCAUGUGUAGCGGUGAAAUGCGUAGAUAUAUGGAGGAACACCAGUGGCGAAGGCGGCUCUCUGGUCUGUCACUGACGCUCAGGCUCGAAAGCGUGGGGAGCGAACAGG
Molecule: ribosomal RNA, 254 nt
Filed under: uncultured bacterium
Lineage: Bacteria
Description: partial 16S ribosomal RNA
Rfam family: Bacterial small subunit ribosomal RNA
Source: RNAcentral